Molecule: long non-coding RNA, 532 nt
Filed under: Hordeum vulgare
Lineage: Eukaryota; Viridiplantae; Streptophyta; Magnoliopsida; Poales; Poaceae
Description: long non-coding RNA (HVUL_LNC008587)
Source: RNAcentral
UAUAUAUAUAUGCACUUCACACCGUUCGCACGAGCCCGUACCAAUACUCAAAAGGUGAAACCCACAAGAGAUCGAGCUGUUGCCGUGGGUGCCUGCGCCGGCGCCGCCCCGUCCAUCUGCUCGGCGAGCAAGCUCCUCCUCCUCCUCCUUGUCUUGGCCGCCGGUGCGGCGCGCGGCGCUGCCGCGGCGAGAACGGGGCCGGCAGCGGCGGGCGCGAGGCUGCUGUCGGGGCCAGGGGCCUCUUGCUGCACGCACGACCGGAACUCGGAGGGGACCUCCUGCUGCCCACACCGGCCACCUCCGUAGGCUGUAGCACUUCACCCGAAAUGUGUAGAGUGAAUUAUUUGGUCGUUGAUCGUUCGUUCAGAUAGAACAAUACCCUGUAUAUAUAUUCAUUCCUCCACGGCUCCACCUUUCGUGUCUAGUCGUUGUUUAUUUCUGAACUGCAGUAGCAGCGUCUCUGGUUCAACAGGAGAAUUUUGUAUGUGUAGACGCCUGUGUACUAUAGGUGUUGGAAGAGUCUGUUUUCAUG